Molecule: transfer RNA, 72 nt
Filed under: Camelus ferus (Wild Bactrian camel)
Lineage: Eukaryota; Metazoa; Chordata; Mammalia; Artiodactyla; Camelidae
Rfam family: tRNA
About the family: Transfer RNA (tRNA) molecules are approximately 80 nucleotides in length. Their secondary structure includes four short double-helical elements and three loops (D, anti-codon, and T loops).
Source: Rfam by way of RNAcentral
AAAGGUAUAACUCAGUGGUAGAGUGUGUGCUUAGCAUGCACGAGGUCUUGGGUUCAAUCCCCAGUAUCUCCA